This 799-nucleotide ribosomal RNA is filed under the name Bacillus subtilis. RNAcentral describes it as "bacterial SSU rRNA". It matches the Rfam family "Bacterial small subunit ribosomal RNA", at positions 557 to 1356 of the family's 1533-position model. The record is from RNAcentral. Lineage: Bacteria; Bacillati; Bacillota; Bacilli; Caryophanales; Bacillaceae.
GGCGUAAAGGGCUCGCAGGCGGUUUCUUAAGUCUGAUGUGAAAGCCCCCGGCUCAACCGGGGAGGGUCAUUGGAAACUGGGGAACUUGAGUGCAGAAGAGGAGAGUGGAAUUCCACGUGUAGCGGUGAAAUGCGUAGAGAUGUGGAGGAACACCAGUGGCGAAGGCGACUCUCUGGUCUGUAACUGACGCUGAGGAGCGAAAGCGUGGGGAGCGAACAGGAUUAGAUACCCUGGUAGUCCACGCCGUAAACGAUGAGUGCUAAGUGUUAGGGGGUUUCCGCCCCUUAGUGCUGCAGCUAACGCAUUAAGCACUCCGCCUGGGGAGUACGGUCGCAAGACUGAAACUCAAAGGAAUUGACGGGGGCCCGCACAAGCGGUGGAGCAUGUGGUUUAAUUCGAAGCAACGCGAAGAACCUUACCAGGUCUUGACAUCCUCUGACAAUCCUAGAGAUAGGACGUCCCCUUCGGGGGCAGAGUGACAGGUGGUGCAUGGUUGUCGUCAGCUCGUGUCGUGAGAUGUUGGGUUAAGUCCCGCAACGAGCGCAACCCUUGAUCUUAGUUGCCAGCAUUCAGUUGGGCACUCUAAGGUGACUGCCGGUGACAAACCGGAGGAAGGUGGGGAUGACGUCAAAUCAUCAUGCCCCUUAUGACCUGGGCUACACACGUGCUACAAUGGACAGAACAAAGGGCAGCGAAACCGCGAGGUUAAGCCAAUCCCACAAAUCUGUUCUCAGUUCGGAUCGCAGUCUGCAACUCGACUGCGUGAAGCUGGAAUCGCUAGUAAUCGCGGAUCAGCAUG